GAUGAACGCUGGCGGCGUGCCUAAUACAUGCAAGUCGAACGGAGUGCUAGCAAUAGUACUUAGUGGCGAACGGGUGAGUAACGCGUUGGUGACCUACCCCGAAGCGGGGGAUAACAGCUCGAAAGGGCUGCUAAUACCCCAUGAGGUCUUACUGGUUAGAGGCGGUAAGACGAAAGGGAGCAAUCCCACUUUGGGAGGGGCCUGCGUCCCAUCAGCUAGUUGGUAGGGUAAAAGCCUACCAAGGCGAAGACGGGUAGGGGACCUGAGAGGGUGACCCCCCACACUGGCACUGAAACACGGGCCAGACACCUACGGGUGGCAG
Molecule: ribosomal RNA, 322 nt
Filed under: uncultured Chloroflexota bacterium
Lineage: Bacteria; Bacillati; Chloroflexota
Description: bacterial SSU rRNA
Rfam family: Bacterial small subunit ribosomal RNA
Source: RNAcentral